Molecule: ribosomal RNA, 372 nt
Filed under: uncultured organism
Description: bacterial SSU rRNA
Rfam family: Bacterial small subunit ribosomal RNA
Source: RNAcentral
CAGGGGGGGCUAGCGUUGUUCGGAAUUACUGGGCGUAAAGGGUUCGUAGGUGGCUGACUAAGUCAGACGUGAAAUCCCUCAGCUUAACUGGGGAACUGCGUCUGAGACUGGUGAGCUUGAGUGCAGGAGAGGAACGCGGAAUUCCAGGUGUAGCGGUGAAAUGCGUAGAUAUCUGGAGGAACACCGGUGGCGAAGGCGGCGUUCUGGACUGCAACUGACACUGAGGAACGAAAGCCAGGGUAGCAAACGGGAUUAGAUACCCCGGUAGUCCUGGCCCUAAACGAUGAAUGCUUGGUGUGGCGGGUAUCGAUCCCUGCCGUGCCGCAGUUAACGCGUUAAGCAUUCCGCCUGGGGAGUACGGUCGCAAGGCUG